GCGUGCUGUCAGACUGGCUCGCAGGCGACGCGGCCGGCGGACCCGUUCAAGACAGCGCGGGCGGCUCGGGUCCCCUGGGGCUCCGCAGCAGGAGGACGCCAUGGACGACAAGGAGUUAAUUGAAUACUUUAAGUCUCAGAUGAAAGAAGAUCCUGACAUGGCCUCAGCAGUGGCUGCCAUCAGGACGUUGCUGGAGUUCUUGAAGAGAGAUAAAGGGGAGACAAUCCAGGGUCUGAGGGCAAAUCUCACCAGUGCCAUAGAAACCCUGUGUGGUGUGGACUCCUCCGUGGCAGUGUCCUCUGGCGGGGAGCUCUUCCUCCGCUUCAUCAGCCUUGCCUCCCUGGAAUACUCUUUUGCUCUUUUCUUCCUAGGAUUACUCCAAAUGUAAAAAGAUCAUGAUUGAGCGGGGAGAACUUUUUCUCA
Molecule: small RNA, 423 nt
Filed under: Pongo abelii (Sumatran orangutan)
Lineage: Eukaryota; Metazoa; Chordata; Mammalia; Primates; Hominidae
Description: processed transcript
Source: RNAcentral